AGAAGUUAAAAGAUGUAAUGAAGCAAAUAAAAGAUGUAAUAGUUAUGACAGUACUGAUAUAUGUGUUGAUUUAUAUGAUGAAGAAUCAUGGGAUGAUGAAAAUCCUAAAAUGAAAGUGAAAAAAAAUAAUAUAACAUUACCCCCUAAAAAAAAUAAAAAUAUAGCACUACCAGAUUCGAAAAAGAAUAAUGUAGACUUAAAAAAAAAUACCCGAACAAUCAACCUAAACAAAAAUACUAAUACAAUAAAAAAUUUGAAUACUAAGAAAAAUAACGUUCAAAAAAAAGAAUCUAAUGCUACACUAACUAAUGCUAUAUUAACAAAAGAAGACAAUUAUAAUAAUGAUAAACUGAAAGUGUUAGGAAAUGAACUACAUAAACAGAUAAGUAUGUUGGAAAAAGAAAAAGAAAAAGUAAAAAAAUUGGAAUAUGAAUUAAUUGCGAAAAGUGCUGAAAUUGAAUUGGAACGAGAAGAAAUGAAAAAUAAAUUAGAAGAAGAAAAAAAAGAAUUUCUUAAAAGGUAAAAAAAAAAAAAAAAAAAAUGGAAUAGAGAAAAAAAAAAAAUAGAAAAUGAAAUAGAAAAACAAAAAAAUUUAAAUAUGAAUAAAAGAAAAUUAACAAACGAAAUAGCAAUGUUUAAAAAUGAAAUAAAAUUAUUACAAAAUAAAAUGAACAGUGAAAAAAAACAACACAAAUUAAUAGUAGAAAAAAUGAAAAAACAAAUAGAUGAUUUAUCUAUAUUAAAUGAAAAAUUAAAAACUGAGUUAAAAUUAUCAGAUGAAUAUAGAGAUAAAUUAGAAACUUAUCAACAAAAAACUAUAAGUACAUUAGCACAAAAUAUGACAGAAAUAAGUAAAACAAACACAAAAAAUAAUUUUGAUUUUAUGCAAAAUGGACAUAACUACGACAAUUUAUUGGAUCACCAUAAUGAUGGAGGUGGUAUUAACGAUAGAGGUGGUACUAACGAUAGAGGUGGUACUAACGAUAGAGGUGGUACUAACGAUGGAGGUAGUAUUAAUUCCUCUAUUGACAGUGACAAUUUAAAAAAAAAAAACAAGUUGCUAAAACAAAUAAGGGGAAAAAAUAAAUACACUACAGGUACAGGUACGGGUACGGGGAAUGCUAAUAAUAAAUAUAAUGAACAACGAUAUUUAGAAGAAACAGGAAUAUAUGACAAAAUGAACGAAUCUGAAUGUUCAAACGAUUUAGAAGAAAUAAUAAAUGAUAAAAAUGGUAACAUUUUAAACGAAUAUGAUAUUAUAUAUAAUACUUCUAACAGUGAUAACGAACACUAUCCAAAAAAUAAUACUUUACGCAAAAAAAACAGAUUUAUGCACAAUGUUAUGAAUAAUAAUAUAAAAAAUAAAGAAAAAAAAAAAAUCACGCUUAAUAAUUUAUUUGUGAAUAAUAAAAAAAAAGAAACAAAUCUGGAUGUUAUGGAAAAAGAAAAGAAAAAAGAAGAAGAAAUUAAUCAAAAUUUGAAUAAAAUGAAAUUAAUUAUUGAAAAAAAUAAAAACAGACUAAAAAGUGAAAAUAUAAAUAAUAAUAAUGUCAGGAGAGAUGAAGUUAACAGACGUAAUGUUAUCAGUGGUAAGGGCAAUAGUGUUGCCCCCACUAGUACCAAUACAAAUAAUAAAGAAAACAAUUCGUACAAUUUAUUUGGUAAGGAUUGGAAUUUUCUCAUACAUUUUAAUUUUGAUGAAUUAUUUAACACUUGCGAAGAUGUUAUUAAAUCUAUUUUUACGCCAUCAAAGAAAUUAAAAUAUAGACAAGCGUUUAUCGAUGGAAAAGUAGAAACCUUAUUUGAAGAUGGGAUAAAAAUAAUUGAAAAAAAUAAAAAUAAAAAAAUCAUGAAUACAGAAAACUUAGUUAUUUAUCUUUACCCAAAUAGGGAUUACAAGGCACAGUUACCUAAUUC
Long non-coding RNA from Piliocolobus tephrosceles (Ugandan red Colobus), 1917 nucleotides. NCBI's taxonomy places the organism in Eukaryota, Metazoa, Chordata, Mammalia, Primates, Cercopithecidae. The record is from Ensembl.